UAUCCCAAACUGGGAUUAGAUACCCCACUAUGCUUAGCCCUAAACAUAAAUAGUUCUAUAACAAAACAAUUCGCCAGAGAACUACUAGCAACAGCUUAAAACUCAAAGGACUUGGCGGUGCUUUAUAUCCC
This 131-nucleotide ribosomal RNA is filed under the name Vulpes vulpes (red fox). RNAcentral's name for it is "partial small subunit ribosomal RNA". Lineage: Eukaryota; Metazoa; Chordata; Mammalia; Carnivora; Canidae. The record is from RNAcentral.